Molecule: ribosomal RNA, 502 nt
Filed under: uncultured Glomus
Lineage: Eukaryota; Fungi; Glomeromycota; Glomeromycetes; Glomerales; Glomeraceae
Description: SSU rRNA
Rfam family: Eukaryotic small subunit ribosomal RNA
Source: RNAcentral
AGCAGCCGCGGUAAUUCCAGCUCCAAUAGCGUAUAUUAAAGUUGUUGCAGUUAAAAAGCUCGUAGUUGAAUUUCGGGAUCAAAUUGUCGGUCGUGCCUCGGUACGAACUGGUAUUAUUGGUUCCUACCUUCUGAAGAACCGCGAUGUCAUUAAUUUGGUGUCGUGGGGAAUCAGGACUGUUACUUUGAAAAAAUUAGAGUGUUUAAAGCAAGCUCGCGCUUGAAUACAUUAGCAUGGAAUAAUGAAAUAGGACGUUUGAUUCUAUUUUGUUGGUUUCUAGGAUCGACGUAAUGAUUAAUAGGGAUAGUUGGGGGCAUUAGUAUUCAAUUGUCAGAGGUGAAAUUCUUGGAUUUAUUGAAGACUAACUACUGCGAAAAGCAUUUGCCAAGGAUGUUUUCAUUAAUCAAGAACGAAAGUUAGGGGAUCGAAGACGAUCAGAUACCGUCGUAGUCUUAACCGUAAACUAUGCCGACUAGGGAUCGGAUGAUGUUAAUUUUUAAUG